RNAcentral lists this ribosomal RNA (413 nucleotides) under uncultured bacterium. RNAcentral's name for it is "bacterial SSU rRNA". It matches the Rfam family "Bacterial small subunit ribosomal RNA", at positions 390 to 795 of the family's 1533-position model. The record is from RNAcentral.
AGCGACGCCUCGUGGAGGAUGAAGUCCUUCGGGGCGUAAGCUCCUGUCAGAUGGGAAUAAGGCGCGGGUGUUAAUUCCACCGUUGCUUGACGGUACCAUCAGAGGAAGCUCCGGCUAACUGCGUGCCAGCAACCGCGGUAAUUCGUGGGGAGCAAGCGUUGUUAGGAUUUUCUGGGCGUAAAGAGCUCGUAGGCGGGUGUGUAAGUCGGGUGUGAAGUCCUCUGGCUCAACCAGAGAAUUGCCCCCGAAACUGCGCAUCUUGAGUUCAGCAGAGGGAAUCGGAAUCAGUUGUGUAGCGGUGCAAUGCGUAGAGAUAACUGAGAACCCCAGUGGCGAAGGCGGAUUCCUGGGCUGACACUGCCGCUGAGGAGCGAAAGCUGGGGGAGCGAUCAGGAUUAGAUACCCUGGUAGUC